UCUCCGUAGGUGAACCUGCGGAGGGAUCAUUACUGAGUGAGGGCCUCCCCGGCCCGACCUCCAACCCUUUGUGAACACAACUUGUUGCUUCGGGGGCGACCCUGCCGUUUCGACGGCGAGCGCCCCCGGAGGCCUUCAAACACUGCAUCUUUGCGUCGGAGUCUUAAUGAAUUUAAACAAAACUUUUAACAACGGAUCUCUUGGUUCUGGCAUCGAUGAAGAACGCGC
RNAcentral lists this unclassified non-coding RNA (228 nucleotides) under uncultured fungus. RNAcentral describes it as "sequence contains ITS1, 5.8S rRNA gene". The stretch from base 181 to 228 matches the Rfam family "5.8S ribosomal RNA", at positions 1 to 48 of the family's 154-position model. The record is from RNAcentral. Lineage: Eukaryota; Fungi.